This is a long non-coding RNA of Cyprinus carpio (common carp), 237 nucleotides long. RefSeq lists it as uncharacterized. The transcript is spliced from 3 exons. Lineage: Eukaryota; Metazoa; Chordata; Actinopteri; Cypriniformes; Cyprinidae. The record is from RefSeq and is a predicted model, not a curated record.
UUCCCGGUUGCUACCUGCUCUCGGUGAAAUGGAUAUGAUGGUGAAAUGGCUCCCUCCGGUUCAAAUAUUGAGCAGCAAGCCUUUGACGGUAUUAAUACAUCGGCCGCAAUUGAUCCAGACAGCGCAGCCGAUGGUAAAACAAGAUCCAUCUCCAACAUUUUUUAUGAGAAAUCAAAAUUUUAGAGAGACUUAUCUCUAUUUUAAAUGGUAAUAUAUGCCAUGAUAGUAACAUAUUAC